UCUCCAUCAGAAAGAGCUGCUUUAAUCAAUGUCAAAUUUUGGUCAAAUGACUUCUGACUCCAUCGGUUCACAAUUUUAAUAUGAAGUAAUUUUAUCAAAAACUCUAACUCGAAGAACUUUACACAAUUUAGAUAGAGUGGCUCUCGUGCAUCCGUUACAAGCUUUGCAAACUGUUCAGAAAUCUCUUCUACCUCAAGCC
This 199-nucleotide long non-coding RNA is filed under the name Elaeis guineensis (African oil palm). RNAcentral's name for it is "long non-coding RNA (EGUI_LNC007194)". Lineage: Eukaryota; Viridiplantae; Streptophyta; Magnoliopsida; Arecales; Arecaceae. The record is from RNAcentral.